RNAcentral lists this ribosomal RNA (301 nucleotides) under uncultured bacterium. RNAcentral's name for it is "partial 16S ribosomal RNA". It matches the Rfam family "Bacterial small subunit ribosomal RNA", at positions 509 to 807 of the family's 1533-position model. The record is from RNAcentral.
CAGCAGCCACGGGAAUACGAAGGGGGCUAGCGUUGCGCGGAAUCACUGGGCGUAAAGGGUGCGUAGGCGGGUUUUUAAGUCAGAGGUGAAAUCCUGGAGCUCAACUCCAGAACUGCCUCUGAUACUGAAAGUCUUGAGUAUGGGAGAGGUGAGUGGAACUGCGGGUGUAGAGGUGGAAUUCGUAGAUAUUCGCAAGAACACCAGUGGCGAAGGCAGCUCACUGGCCCAUAACUGACGCUGAGGCACGAAAGCGUGGGGAGCGAACAGGAUUAGAUACCCGAGUAGUCCCUGUCUCUUAUAC